This 429-nucleotide ribosomal RNA is filed under the name bacterium. RNAcentral describes it as "partial 16S ribosomal RNA". It matches the Rfam family "Bacterial small subunit ribosomal RNA", at positions 355 to 776 of the family's 1533-position model. The record is from RNAcentral.
UAGGGAAUCUUCGGCAAUGGGGGCAACCCUGACCGAGCAACGCCGCGUGAGUGAAGAAGGUUUUCGGAUCGUAAAGCUCUGUUGUAAGAGAAGAACGUGUGUGAGAGUGGAAAGUUCACACAGUGACGGUAACUUACCAGAAAGGGACGGCUAACUACGUGCCAGCAGCCGCGGUAAUACGUAGGUCCCGAGCGUUGUCCGGAUUUAUUGGGCGUAAAGCGAGCGCAGGCGGUUUAAUAAGUCUGAAGUUAAAGGCAGUGGCUUAACCAUUGUUCGCUUUGGAAACUGUUAAACUUGAGUGCAGAAGGGGAGAGUGGAAUUCCAUGUGUAGCGGUGAAAUGCGUAGAUAUAUGGAGGAACACCGGUGGCGAGAGCGGCUCUCUGGUCUGUAACUGACGCUGAGGCUCGAAAGCGUGGGGAGCAAACAGG